RNAcentral lists this ribosomal RNA (497 nucleotides) under uncultured bacterium. RNAcentral's name for it is "partial 16S ribosomal RNA". It matches the Rfam family "Bacterial small subunit ribosomal RNA", at positions 28 to 507 of the family's 1533-position model. The record is from RNAcentral.
GACGAACGCUGGCGGCGUGCCUAAUACAUGCAAGUUGAGCGAUGAAGAUUGGUGCUUGCCCCAAUUUGAAGAGCAGCGAACGGGUGAGUAACGCGUGGGGAAUCUGCCUUUGAGCGGGGGACAACAUUUGGAAACGAAUGCUAAUACCGCAUAACAACUUUAAACAUAAGUUUUAAGUUUGAAAGAUGCAAUUGCAUCACUCAAAGAUGAUCCCGCGUUGUAUUAGCUAGUUGGUGAGGUAAAGGCUCACCAAGGCGAUGAUACAUAGCCGACCUGAGAGGGUGAUCAGCCACAAUGGGACUGAGACACGGCCCAAACUCCUACGGGAGGCAGCAGUAGGGAAUCUUCGGCAAUGGACGAAAGUCUGACCGAGCAACGCCGCGUGAGUGAAGAAGGUUUUCGGAUCGUAAAACUCUGUUGGUAGAGAAGAACGUUGGUGAGAGUGGAAAGCUCAUCAAGUGACGGUAACUACCCAGAAAGGGACGGCUAACUACGUG